Long non-coding RNA from Rhododendron vialii, 1720 nucleotides. RefSeq lists it as uncharacterized. The record is from RefSeq and is a predicted model, not a curated record. Lineage: Eukaryota; Viridiplantae; Streptophyta; Magnoliopsida; Ericales; Ericaceae. The transcript has 2 exons.
CUUUCUCUGCAUUUUCUGCAAAAACCAGAACAGGUUUUAGGGUUUUUGGAACUCGAACCCAAAAAAGAUUAUUUGGCUUCUUUAUCCUGUAUUUGAUGUACUUCUCUGGUUCAUUGUAGUCGUGUUGUGCAAAUUAGACAUCUCUUGCUCUUAUGCUUCUUAUUUGUCAAAUUUAUGACCGAUCAUAAGUUUAGGUUUUGUGGCUUUGCCAAAGCAUGAUCUUUGGUCGUAGUCAUUAGUUUAUUAGUGUUGCUUGUGAACUGAUUUUACAGGUCAUUGUAUUCUUUUGAUGGUCAAUUGUUGUAAGAUCUUCAAGUAGUCCGUCCGAAGAUGUGUGUAUAUUCGCGAAAAAUACCAAAUACCACGUAUAUUUGGCUGGGAAAAAUAUGCAAUAUUCCCGGUGGCGGCUCCAAGAAUUUGAAUUAGGGUGUUCAGAAAUAAAUAUAUUAUAUUUUUAAACGAAAAUUCAAUAUGUUUUGGAAGUUGUCGUAUUACGCAGUAGACAAUGUUUCGAGAAUGGAGGGAGUUAAAUUUUGUAGUUGUCCUAGACAAAUUCCCAUAUGUUGUGCCAAUAUUUAACUCGUGUAUUACCAAUCUACUAAAACCCUUUUGAAAGAAAUUGUAACGAGUAUAUUGGGGCUAACCUUUUCGAAAGUACGUUGUUUGUUAGGAUGACGUGAUGAGAUUUUUUAUCGUAGUUUUAAAUUCGAAGGAAUAUUAAUUAAGUUAACGGGGUUAUGCAAUGUAGUUGAAUUUUUUUUAAAGCUUUGUCUGUAAUUCUAUAAGCUAACUAGACAAAAAAAAUAGUUAUGUGAAAAUAACACAUUUAGAGCAUCGAUAAUAGAGAUGGAGAGAGAACACAGAGCAUGAUAUUUAAACCAAUAGAUUCUUCUGUCUCUUUUUUUUUCAAUUAGGAUUGUGAGCUUUAUUUAAGGUAAUGCGUUAGGCGUUCAAAUAUGAAUUACCUGGAUUGAUGGGUUGUAAUUGGGUUGUGAUAGAAUGUUCAAUUGAUUGAGUUAGGUGUUGUAAUUGGGCUGUGAUAGAGUGUUCAAUGCGUUAGGUGUUCAAAUAUCCACUGUCCAUUAGCGUUUCCCUUCUUAUAUAUUAGCCAUGCAAAGCAGAUUAAUCAGAAACUGCAAGCAAUGGUUACUCUAGAGUUCAAUCACCAACAAAAAAAGAAAAAGAAAAUAUGAUGGAUCAUAUGCAUAUUCCUUACACUUACCCGGGUUGUAUUGUGUGGGCAUGAAAUCUUCAGCAAUGUGAAAAGUCAGUCAUCAUGUAACAUUACUAACAUAGCUUCUGUGUGCAUACUUUCUGGCUAGGAGAUCUAUUCUACCGCUUGGUGUCUCAAAAAUUUGAGGAUCCUGCUGAAGGAGAGAUAGCCUUUGUGGCAAAGUUCAAGAAACUGUAUGAUGAUUUGACAGCAGGUUUCUUUAAUCUUGAGGAUGAAACUCGAUGAUUGACUGUAAAAUGUCAUGAGAUUCACCCAGUUGGUUUUCUGUUCAUUGUGCUUUUGUACGAGGGAACCAAAUGAGAUUAUUAGGUCCUUAUCGCGCACUCUAGUGUUUGACCUUUGUUUUAUAUGGGUCGGUGUAAUAUCUAUUUUUUUGUAAUUUCAGUUGUUUCUUUUUGGCUUGGCCAAAAAUAAAGAUGCCGCUUUUGCUUGUGAUACUUUAUUUGCACAUGGAUCCAAUAAAUAUAUGGUUGACUUGUAUCUUAA